CUGAAACAUCUAAGUACCCCGAGGAAAAGAAAUCAACCGAGAUUCCCCCAGUAGCGGCGAGCGAACGGGGAGGAGCCCAGAGCCUGAAUCAGCAUGUGUGUUAGUGGAAGCGUCUGGAAAGGCGCGCGAUACAGGGUGACAGCCCCGUACACAAAAGCGCAUGUGCUGUGAGCUCGAUGAGUAGGGCGGGACACGUGGUAUCCUGUCUGAAUAUGGGGGGACCAUCCUCCAAGGCUAAAUACUCCUGACUGACCGAUAGUGAACCAGUACCGUGAGGGAAAGGCGAAAAGAACCCCGGCGAGGGGAGUGAAACAGAACCUGAAACCGUGUACGUACAAGCAGUGGGAGCACAGGUUUACCUG
This 362-nucleotide ribosomal RNA is filed under the name Salmonella enterica subsp. salamae. RNAcentral's name for it is "partial 23S ribosomal RNA". It matches the Rfam family "Bacterial large subunit ribosomal RNA", at positions 193 to 591 of the family's 2925-position model. The record is from RNAcentral. Lineage: Bacteria; Pseudomonadati; Pseudomonadota; Gammaproteobacteria; Enterobacterales; Enterobacteriaceae.